This 215-nucleotide long non-coding RNA is filed under the name Manihot esculenta (cassava). RNAcentral's name for it is "long non-coding RNA (MESC_LNC000425)". The record is from RNAcentral. Lineage: Eukaryota; Viridiplantae; Streptophyta; Magnoliopsida; Malpighiales; Euphorbiaceae.
UAUAAUCCCAUACAUGAUCAACAACAUGCACAAAAAUUAAAACUUUUCUUCAUACAAACUGUCAUCUACUAACUCAACCUGUGCAUACUCUGAUCAUAUACAUAACAUAGUCCCUCUGUGGGAUCUCAUCAAGCCUUAAAGGCAAAACAACCUGUGUUGAGUUAGUUUACAUAAACAUCAUAACAUAAGAUCAUGUAUAUACAAAAGGGAUUAAC